RNAcentral lists this microRNA precursor (87 nucleotides) under Paramuricea clavata. Lineage: Eukaryota; Metazoa; Cnidaria; Anthozoa; Malacalcyonacea; Plexauridae. The record is from RNAcentral.
UCAAAAAAUAUAAUACAAAACAUAAUCCGAAGAUAAGCAUCUUGGGUUUCAAGAUGCUUAUCUUCGGAUUAUGUUUUGUAUUAUACU